Molecule: long non-coding RNA, 2159 nt
Organism: Xenia sp. Carnegie-2017
Lineage: Eukaryota; Metazoa; Cnidaria; Anthozoa; Malacalcyonacea; Xeniidae
Exons: 2
Source: RefSeq, a predicted model, not a curated record
AAUAUGGCGGGUCACGAAGAAAGGCAUGUGAGAAAAUUUGAGAUGUCGAAUCGGUUUGAAGACAAGUGAGAUAAUUAAUUAUGUUAUUGGUUCAGAGAGUGAGUUGAGUGAUUUGUCAAGAGAUGAUGAAACAGAUGAAUGGUUACCACCUGGUGAUGAAAACCAUGGUGCCGAACAACAUGAUGAUAAUAUGGACAUCAAGGCUGACAGUCCUCAUGAUGAGGAUACGAACAUUGAUUUUAAAGAUGUAUUUCCUGAAAAAGUGGCCCAUGCCUCAACUGCAAGAAACCAAGCAAAACAUAAAAUUGUAUAUAAGUUUGACAAGAGAAGAGCAUUUGUUCCACCUUCAAACUUAGAAUUCAUUGAUGCACAGCUUGAACCCGAACCAAAAGAUGACACUUCCUACAACUACUUCAAAUAUUUUGUCACCAGGGACAUGUUUGAAUAUUUGGCUGAAGAGUCCAAUCAUUACGCACAUCAAAAAGUUGGAAUUUCUCUUCAAACAUCAGCUUGUGAACUGGAAACAUUUGUUGAUCUUUUUUUCACAUGGGAUUAGUGCAAAUGCCUGCUGUCGGUUGCUAUUGGGAAGCACACAUCCGUUAUAAUCCAAUAGCUGAUGUAAUAUCAAGACAAACAGUUUCAGAAGCUAGUUUCCUAUUUGCACAAUGCCAACAACUUAACAGUAACCAAGGACAAUAAAACUGAUAAAGUCUGGAAGAUAAGGCAAUGGUGUGAUGAUUUAAAUUCAAACUUUUUGAAAGUAAUUCCAUCUGAAAACCAAUGCAUAGAUGAAGUUAUGGUUGCCUUCAAAGGAAGAUCAAUGCUAAAGCAAUAUCUUCCAAAGAAGCCAUGAAAAUGGAGAUUCAAGCUUUGGGCUCGAUGUUCAUCAACAGGCUUUUUGCAUGUUUUUGAUAUUUAUCAAGGGAAGAAUGCCACAAUUGAAGAUGAAAGCAAUGUCUCUGGUUGUGGAUCGGGUGGAAAUGUUGAUUUCAAGUUGUGUUCAACUCUUCCUGCAAAAAGAAAUUUCAAAAUCUUUGCCGACAAUUUUUUUCUAAUUUUGAGAUGGUUGCUGAACUGGAAAAAAGAGGAUUGCAUUAUGUUGGUACCAUUAACAACAAUCGUCUUCGUGGUGCUCCUCUUAAAUCUGAGAAAGAAUUAAAAAAAGAGGGAAGAGGCUCAGAUAACAGUGUUGUUGAGACAACCAGAAAUCUCUCUUUGGUUCGAUGGUGCGACAACAAGUGUGUCACAAUGAUAUCUUCUUAUUUAGGAAAUGAAGAUUGCAAUGAUAUACAGAGAUAUGAUAGAUCAAAGAAACAGCACAUAAGUGUUAGUCGUCCAUCAAUUAUUGCUGUUUAUAAUAAAUCAAUGGGAGGAAUUGACCUAAUGGAUAUGCCGUGUUCGCUCUAUAAAUGUCAGCUUAGAAGCAAAAGAUGGUAUAUUUACAUCUUUUACCGCACUCUCACAAUUGCACUGGUAAAUGCAUGACUCUUAUACAGAAGAGAUUGCAAAAUUCUUAACUUCAGAGCAAUGUCAUUGAGAAAAUUUCUAGCUAUGGUUGCCUUUGCCUUAUGUAAUGUGAACAAACCACAACGUGGGCGUCGGGCAUUGAAAAGUGCAAGGAAGAAAAGAAAAAUUCAGUUAAUCCAGCACCUGUACAAGAUGUCCGAUUUGACGGUGUUGAUCAUUUGUCCAUUUAUGCAAAGAAAUGGCAACGUUGCCGAAAUUGCACAGGUGGAUUUUCCAUCGUAAUGUGUGGGAAGUGCAAGGUUUAUUUAUGCUUGAACAAAAACCGUAAUUGCUACGUUGCAUAUCAUUCAAAGUAACACCUUUUUGAAUUUUUUAAUAGCUUAUAUUAUGCUGUAAUAUAACUUAAGCCUCUUAUUGAACAAACAGAAUUUUUGCAAUACAUAUUAACAAAACAUUAUUAAUACUAGCUUUUGCCUUAUUUACCAUUGUAGCAAAUAUGCUACAUUAAGGAAAUUCUCGGAAAACAUAAUAAUUUAUCGUUUUUUCUUUUUCAUGGGUUAAUUAUGUAUAAAGUAAUGUAAUAACCAAGGGAAAAAUUUUUCAGAAGUAAUUAGUCACUUUGGUUAAUAUAGAGUUGUAAACUGUAUAUCAAAUUGGUAAAAAUUGUGAAAAAUUUUUAGAAUGACCCAGAA